GAUGAACGCUGGCGGCGCGCCUAACACAUGCAAGUCGAACGGUUAAAGCACCUUUUAGGUGUGUAUAAAGUGGCGAACGGCUGAGUAACACGUGGGCAACCUGCCCUCCUCUUGGGGAUAGCCUCGGGAAACCGAGGAUAAUACCCGAUACUUCAAUGUGGCCGCAUGACGACAUUGAGAAAGCUUUUGCGGAGAAGGAUGGGCCCGCGGCCUGUUAGCUUGUUGGUGGGGUAGAGGCCUACCAAGGCAAUGAUGGGUAGCUGGGUUGAGAGACCGACCAGCCAGAUUGGGACUGAGACACGGCCCAGACUCCUACGGGAGGCAGCAGUGGGGAAUCUUGCACAAUGGGCGAAAGCCUGAUGCAGCGACGCCGCGUGCGGGACGAAGGCCUUUCGGGUUGUAAACCGCUUUUCAGCAGGGACGAGGCGAAAGUGACGGUACCUGCAGAAGAAGCC
Molecule: ribosomal RNA, 455 nt
Filed under: Lancefieldella rimae
Lineage: Bacteria; Bacillati; Actinomycetota; Coriobacteriia; Coriobacteriales; Atopobiaceae
Description: bacterial SSU rRNA
Rfam family: Bacterial small subunit ribosomal RNA
Source: RNAcentral